This 459-nucleotide ribosomal RNA is filed under the name uncultured bacterium. RNAcentral's name for it is "partial 16S ribosomal RNA". It matches the Rfam family "Bacterial small subunit ribosomal RNA", at positions 338 to 795 of the family's 1533-position model. The record is from RNAcentral.
CCUACGGGUGGCAGCAGUGAGGAAUAUUGGUCAAUGGGCGCAGGCCUGAACCAGCCAAGUCGCGUGAGGGAAGACUGCCCUAUGGGUUGUAAACCUCUUUUAUAAGGGAAGAAUAAUGACUACGUGUAGUCAGAUGCCCGUACCUUAUGAAUAAGCAUCGGCUAACUCCGUGCCAGCAGCCGCGGUAAUACGGAGGAUGCGAGCGUUAUCCGGAUUUAUUGGGUUUAAAGGGUGCGUAGGCGGUAUUUUAAGUUAGCGGUAAAAAUUCGGGGCUCAACCCCGUCCGGCCGUUGAAACUGGGGGCCUUGAGUGGGCGAGAAGAAGGCGGAAUGCGUGGUGUAGCGGUGAAAUGCAUAGAUAUCACGCAGAACCCCGAUUGCGAAGGCAGCCUUCCGGCGCCCUACUGACGCUGAGGCACGAAAGUGCGGGGAUCGAACAGGAUUAGAUACCCCAGUAGUC